UCUUACGGCCAUACCACCCUGGAAAUGCCCGAUCUCAUCUGAACUCGGAAGUAAAGCAGGGUCGGGCCUGGUUAGUACUUGGAUGGGAGACGAAGUGCUUCAUUUGGCAGCUGAUUUAA
This 119-nucleotide ribosomal RNA is filed under the name Danio rerio (zebrafish). The record is from RNAcentral. Lineage: Eukaryota; Metazoa; Chordata; Actinopteri; Cypriniformes; Danionidae.